AGCGAACGCUGGCGGCAGGCCUAACACAUGCAAGUCGAACGAACCUUUCGGGGUUAGUGGCGGACGGGUGAGUAACACGUGGGAACGUGCCUUUAGGUUCGGAAUAACUCAGGGAAACUUGUGCUAAUACCGAAUGUGCCCUUCCGGGGAAAGAUUUAUCGCCUUUAGAGCGGCCCGCGUCUGAUUAGCUAGUUGGUUGAGGUAAUGGCUCACCAAGGCGACGAUCAGUAGCUGGUCUGAGAGGAUGAUCAGCCACAUUGGGACUGAGACACGGCCCAAACUCCUACGGGAGGCAGCAGUGGGGAAUCUUGCGCAAUGGGCGAAAGCCUGACGCAGCCAUGCCGCGUGAAUGAUGAAGGUCUUAGGAUUGUAAAAUUCUUUCACCGGGGACGAUAAUGACGGUACCCGGAGAAGAAGCCCCGGCUAACUUCGUG
RNAcentral lists this ribosomal RNA (434 nucleotides) under uncultured bacterium. Its description in RNAcentral is "partial 16S ribosomal RNA". It matches the Rfam family "Bacterial small subunit ribosomal RNA", at positions 29 to 507 of the family's 1533-position model. The record is from RNAcentral.